GAUGAAGAACGCAGCGAAAUGCGAUAAGUAAUGUGAAUUGCAGAAUUCCGUGAAUCAUCGAAUCUUUGAACGCACAUUGCGCCCCCUGGCAUUCCGGGGGGCAUGCCUGUCCGAGCGUCAUUUCUGCCCUCCAGCCCGGCUGGGUGUUGGGCGCUGUCCCCCCGGCGACACGCCCCAAAGGCAGUGGCGGCGCCGCGUCGGGUCCUCGAGCGUAUGGGGCUUUGUCACCCGCUCGGGACGGACUCGUCGGCGCUGGUCUUCCUCCAGGCGACCCUUCGGGGCUCGUCUUCCUUCGGUUGACCUCGGAUCAGGUAGGGUUACCCGCUGAACUUAAGCAUAUCAAUAAGCGGAGGA
This 354-nucleotide unclassified non-coding RNA is filed under the name soil metagenome. RNAcentral's name for it is "partial contains 5.8S ribosomal RNA, internal transcribed spacer 2, and large subunit ribosomal RNA". The stretch from base 1 to 120 matches the Rfam family "5.8S ribosomal RNA", at positions 35 to 154 of the family's 154-position model. The record is from RNAcentral.